AGAUUAGCUUGCUUUAGUUGUCAGCUAAGUGGCGCACGGGUGAGUAAUGUAUAGAUAACCUGCCCUUAAGAAAGGAAUAACAGUUGGAAACGACUGCUAAUGCCCUAUAUGCCUUUAAUACAUAAGUAUGCAAGGGAAACGCUUUAGUGCUUAAGGAUGGGUCUGUAUGGUAUCAGCUUGUUGGUGAGGUAAUGGCUCACCAAGGCUAUGACGCCUAACUGGUUUGAGAGGAUGAUCAGUCACACUGGAACUGAGACACGGUCCAGACUCCUACGGGAGGCAGCAGUGGGGAAUAUUGCACAAUGGACGAAAGUCUGAUGCAGCAACGCCGCGUGGAGGAUGACACAUUUCGGUGCGUAAACUCCUUUUAUAUAGGAAGAUAAUGACGGUACUAUAUGAAUAAGCACCGGCUAACUCCGUGCCAGCAGCCGCGGUAAUACGGAGGGUGCAAGCGUUACUCGGAAUCACUGGGCGUAAAGAGCGUGUAGGCGGGUAUAUAAGUCAGAAGUGAAAUCCUAUAGCUUAACUAUAGAACUGCUUUUGAAACUGUAUACCUAGAAUGUGGGAGAGGUAGAUGGAAUUU
RNAcentral lists this ribosomal RNA (583 nucleotides) under uncultured Arcobacter sp. RNAcentral describes it as "bacterial SSU rRNA". It matches the Rfam family "Bacterial small subunit ribosomal RNA", at positions 69 to 669 of the family's 1533-position model. The record is from RNAcentral. Lineage: Bacteria; Pseudomonadati; Campylobacterota; Epsilonproteobacteria; Campylobacterales; Arcobacteraceae.